This 301-nucleotide ribosomal RNA is filed under the name uncultured bacterium. Its description in RNAcentral is "partial 16S ribosomal RNA". It matches the Rfam family "Bacterial small subunit ribosomal RNA", at positions 509 to 807 of the family's 1533-position model. The record is from RNAcentral.
CAGUCGCCGCGGUAAGACAGAGGUCCCGAGCGUUGUUCGGAUUCAUUGGGCGUAAAGGGUGUGUAGGAGGUCGGGUAAGUCAGGUGUGAAAUCUCACAGCUUAACUGUGAAACUGCGCUUGAUACUGCUCGGCUAGAGGAUCGGAGGGGGUAACGGAAUUUAUGGUGUAGCAGUGAAAUGCGUAGAUAUCAUAAGGAACACCGGUGGCGAAGGCGGUUACCUGGAAGAUUCCUGACUCUGAAACACGAAAGCCAGGGGAGCAAACGGGAUUAGAUACCCCCGUAGUCCCUGUCUCUUAUAC